UACGGAGGGUGCAAGCGUUGUCCGGAAUCAUUGGGCGUAAAGCGUUCGUAGGCGGUUUGUCAAGUCUGAUGUUAAAUCCCGGGGCUCAACUCCGGCACGGCAUUGGAUACUGAUAGACUUGAAUGCGGCAGAGGUAAAGGGAAUUCCUGGUGUAGCGGUGAAAUGCGCAGAUAUCAGGAGGAACAUCAGAGGCGAAAGCGCUUUACCGGGCCGUGAUUGACGCUGAGGAACGAAAGCCGGGGGAGCAAAU
RNAcentral lists this ribosomal RNA (250 nucleotides) under uncultured prokaryote. RNAcentral describes it as "partial 16S ribosomal RNA". It matches the Rfam family "Bacterial small subunit ribosomal RNA", at positions 524 to 773 of the family's 1533-position model. The record is from RNAcentral.